RNAcentral lists this ribosomal RNA (441 nucleotides) under uncultured bacterium. RNAcentral describes it as "partial 16S ribosomal RNA". It matches the Rfam family "Bacterial small subunit ribosomal RNA", at positions 338 to 795 of the family's 1533-position model. The record is from RNAcentral.
CCUACGGGAGGCUGCAGUGGGGGAUAUUGCACAAUGGGGGGAACCCUGAUGCAGCGACGCCGCGAGGGUGAAGGAGUAUUUCGGUAUGUAAAGCCCUAUCGGCAGGGAAGAAUUUAGACGGUACCUGACUAAGAAGCCCCGGCUAACUACGUGCCAGCAGCCGCGGUAAUACGUAGGGGGCAAGCGUUAUCCGGAUUCACUGGGUGUAAAGGGAGCGUAGACGGCAGCACAAGUCUGGAGUGAAAUGCCGGGGCUUAACCCCGGAACUGCUUUGGAAACUGUGCAGCUAGAGUGCAGGAGAGGUAAGUGGAAUUCCUAGUGUAGCGGUGAAAUGCGUAGAUAUUAGGAGGAACACCAGUGGCGAAGGCGGCUUACUGGACUGUAACUGACGUUGAGGCUCGAAAGCGUGGGGAGCAAACAGGAUUAGAUACCCCGGUAGUC